RNAcentral lists this ribosomal RNA (899 nucleotides) under Candidatus Woesearchaeota archaeon. RNAcentral's name for it is "partial 23S ribosomal RNA". It matches the Rfam family "Archaeal large subunit ribosomal RNA", at positions 2014 to 2914 of the family's 2987-position model. Lineage: Archaea; Nanobdellati; Candidatus Woesearchaeota. The record is from RNAcentral.
UAACUAUAACUCUCUUAAGGUAGCGAAAUGCCUUGUCGUUUAAUUGACGACUCGCAUGAAUGGCGUAACGAGAUCUCCACUGUCCCUAGUUGGAAGCCACUGAACACUCUAUCCUGGUGCAAAGGCCAGGGAUCUCCAGUGGGAAGCGAAGACCCCGUGAAACUUUACUGUAGUUUGUCGUUGUGAUGUUAGUUCUAUUGCAUAGUGUAAGUGGGAGCUGUUUGAAUCAUGCAUUUUCGGGUGUAUGUUAGGCACUAAUGUAACACCACUCCUUAGAAUUGGCGUUGCUUACUUGUUUACAAGGACAUCGACUGAUGGACAGUUUGGCUGGGGUGGCAACCCGCCGAAAAAAUAUCGGCGGGGCCCUAAGGUUAGCUCAGACGGGUUGGAAAUCCGUUGUAGAGUGCAAGAGCAAAAGCUAGCCUGAUUGGAUCUUUAAUAUGACGAGUUCCAAACACGAAAGUGUGGUCUAGCGAACCUCUAUGUCCUCAUUGAUGGGGGCUAGAGAUGACCGAAAAGUUACUCCGGGGAUAACAGAGUUGUCGCGCCUGAGAGCUCAUAUCGACGGCGCGGUUUGCUACAUCGAUGUCGGCUCUUCCUAUCCUGGAUGUGCACAAGCAUCCAAGGGUGAAGGUGUUCACUUAUCAAAAGGGAUCGUGAGCUGGGUUCAGUACGCUGUGAGGCAGUAUGUUUGAUAUCUACUGGAGAUGUAGAAUGUCUGAGAGGAAGGAUCUUCUAGUACGAGAGGAACGAAGAAUCGAAGCCACUGGUCUACCGGUUAUCUGAUAAGGUAUGCCGGGCAGCUACGCUUUAAGAGAUAAGUGCUGAAAGCAUCUAAGCACGAAACUCACCUCAAAAAGAGACAUUUUCGGGAUUCCUGUAAAAGACAGGUUUGAUAG